This is a long non-coding RNA of Erinaceus europaeus (western European hedgehog), 300 nucleotides long. RefSeq lists it as uncharacterized. The record is from RefSeq and is a predicted model, not a curated record. The transcript has 2 exons. Lineage: Eukaryota; Metazoa; Chordata; Mammalia; Eulipotyphla; Erinaceidae.
GUAGUGUGCUGGAUGAGAUAAGUCUUCAGAGAACUGGAAAUCUGCAAGACAAUGAUGUGUUACUUGGGCAUGAAUACAUGUUUCUGAGGACUUUCUCCUGCCACAGGACAACAAUGCCUCCAGAAUUACUAUCUUGCUCCCAGGAAUAUCUGCAUGAAAAGACCUGAGGCAUCUUUAUGUACCUUUCAAGUCAGCCUGACCCUGUUACAUGUGAGAAGAACUAGGAAAUUUAGUUAUUUUUGAGUACACAGUAUAUCAAGACUAAUUAAAUGUCUACAAAUAAAUUAUACCUCCUGGAAA